Molecule: non-coding RNA, 412 nt
Organism: Styela clava
Lineage: Eukaryota; Metazoa; Chordata; Ascidiacea; Stolidobranchia; Styelidae
Source: RefSeq, a predicted model, not a curated record
UUUGAUGAUUCUGGCAACGAAAGUAAAGCAGUUGGAAAUUUGAUCCAUCUGAUGGAAUUUGGUCUCAUGUCACUGAUAGACCUGCGGAAGGAUAUUAUACAUCUGUAGUUGCUGCAGGAGGUUUCAUUUACUGUAUUGGAGGGUUCAAGGAUAAAAUUCUAUCAAAUGCAAUAAAAUUCAAUCCAUCAGAUUCAACAUGGACAACACUUCCUUUAAAGCCGACUGCAAGAUAUGGUGCGGCUGCAGUUGAACUUGAAGAAAAGAUUUAUGUCAUGGGUGGAAACAACAAUGGCUUGAACGUUGUGGAAUGCUUUGAUACAGUUGCUGAAACAUGGACCCCUGUUGCCAGAUUAAACAAUUCAAGAUCAUAUUUCAAAGCCUGUGUAGUUGAAGGAAAGAUAUUUGCUGUUGG